Molecule: unclassified non-coding RNA, 1326 nt
Filed under: Bombus terrestris (buff-tailed bumblebee)
Lineage: Eukaryota; Metazoa; Arthropoda; Insecta; Hymenoptera; Apidae
Description: misc RNA ENSBTSG00005038057.1
Source: RNAcentral
CUUUUCCCUUAGUGUUCUUGUGUCUUUAGUAAAUUUGAUUUUAUCAUUUGAUAUCUUCACUGUUCUCUGUGCAUUAUCGUUCUCGACUGCGCUCUAUAUUGGUAAAACGAUUAGAACACUCGAUAGUCCCGCUCUAUGCUUAUUUACGUCGCCGUGAAUAACCGACAACGGUUUCCAUGAACGAUCGGAAAAUACGCGGUCAUAGCCCUUCAUGGAAAGUAACGCGUACUCACAGCGACUCGUGGCCAAAAGUAUGUUCGAUAGAGGACAGUGUUCGUAUUGUUGGCGGAGAUGUGUUUGAUAUAUCGCAAAGUUCGAUUGCGAAUGCAUUUGGUACAUCGUCUGAGUUCAGUCUCGUUGUACGACCGAAAAUAGCACGUAUCUUUCUUUCUCAGUAAUAGAAGUGGGAAUAAUUGGUCUUUGACUUGUUUACAUUCGAAGAAACGGUGCCACGUAAAAAUUGGAUCGGAUUGAGGAUACGUACUUCUCAUCCACGGCCGAACAAGCAAAUAAAUAUGGACGAUAAAAAUGCCUUGAGUGGAAGUUUCAACCUUGGGAAAUAAGCAUCGACGAUGAUAUCUUACCUGUAAAAUAAAGUUGUAAAUAUUUCACCUGUGAAAUAAAAAUUGAAUUAAUAUAUUUAUGUAGGAUUAGGAGAGGAUUGUAUAGGAAAGUAUGACAAAUUAAUGAAAUUAAUUAAAACAAAAUAAUUUUCAACAACAUGUAUUUAUAGCUUGAUAUGAAAAAAUUAUAUUAUAAUUUUAAAUCAUAACUAUGAAAUCCAAAUUUUAUUUAUCCAUUCUAUAUUUAAUUCUAACUAAUAUUAAGAUUCAUGUAAACGUAUAAGCCGAUAGUGCAAAAUAUAUUUUUGUCGGUACACAUGAUGUCUCUGAUAUCUACCGUUGCCAAUUUAAAAAAUUUCAGUUUGAUUACCAGAUGAGAAUAACUACAUUAUGUGUUAAAACUACACUGUUCGGCCGUAGAUGUCGCUAGAGAACUUCUACCAAGUUACCGACCAAUAGUUAUAACUAUUUUUCAUAAAAAAUUAUUUGCUAUUCAUAAAGUAGGCUUUUUAAAAUAAAACCCACGAUAGUUAUCAUCAAUAUUAAUGUCAAUAAUCGAUUAUCACGUUUGAGAUUGUAUUUUGUUUAUAUUUAUAUAAUAUUUUGCAUCAAUCAUUAAAUUCCUUUUAUAAUUGAAAAAAUGAUAUAGUUUAUCUUAAUUUUUAUCUUCUUUUAUCAGUAUUUUUCGGAGAUCUUUCGGAUUCUUUUAAUUUGAAUUUCAGAUAAUCGAUAUCAUGUACAUUGACGCACUACCGCCAUCUGA